This 1266-nucleotide long non-coding RNA is filed under the name Coturnix japonica (Japanese quail). RNAcentral describes it as "lncRNA (ENSCJPG00005017412.1)". The record is from RNAcentral. Lineage: Eukaryota; Metazoa; Chordata; Aves; Galliformes; Phasianidae.
GACCACACAGAAUGCUCUCCUCCUAUGUCAUCCAUGUUCCCUUAUUGUGUCACACAGUGCAUGUGGGAGCUCCGUGUGAUUGCCCAAAAGAAGGCCCACCUCCCCUUGCUGCAGUGAACUUGCUCCUACCAGCAGUGAGGACUACGUGGCAGCUAGUCUGUGAAGCCUCAUGAACUGGGAUCUAACAAGUUGCAGAGUCAGACGUGAAGCAAGUGCACACAGAUGCCUCCACCAAGCUGAGGGGAGCUGAAGUAGCUCAGCCUGCUUCACUGUGCUCAUCGCCCUUGACCUCAGAUAUCUCCAGUGCAAGGGGCUUGAAACGGGCAGCUCAGGGAUAAGGGAGGCAAUGGUUCAUUUGGAGGAGGAAAGGAGCUGCCUGUUUUCUUUAGAGCCAGUUGUGAUUCCCGUACGUCUUAGGAACUGCAACAUGAUCUUCAGCUCUGCUGUUUGGCAGAUACUGCCAUCACUACAACCACCCCCUGGUGCCUGCUCACACAUCAGCUGGAUAUGUGUGCCUCUGGAUCCAAAAGAGAAGAGAGAAGAUGUAUCUUCUCUCUCACCACUGCAGCUGGAAGUGCAAGAUGCCAACAGAAGCUGCUGGUGGAAGCGGGCGCAUGCUGCUGCUGUGCAUCACAGCAGCUACAGCCUAGACUAGUUCUGCUCCAUCUUUACAAGCCUUUUGUACCUAUACAGUUACAAGGACUUAAGAGCUGAACUUUCUUUUUUGCUUUUCUCCUAACAAAGACACGGCCUGCUUGGGGUUGGAUUUUGGUUGUUUCUGUUUACUCUGACAAUAUGCUUGAAAUGGACAUGAGAGGAGACCCUGCCAUUUGGACGCAGCAUCUGUAUUUUUCUCCCUUUCAUUAAAUGAAAUGCAAUGUCCAUAAACAACGUAGCACACAAAGGUCUCUUUCGUACCUUGAUGCAUAGCAGAGCACGGUGUUGAUGACAGCUCUCACAUCUAUUGGUUUUCUCUGCCAGGCUAAAUCUAGUUGCAAAAAAAUGAUAGAAAUAACUUUUAAAGGUCUUCGUUUCAAGUCCCAAUACUUGCCCUAUGUCUGAAAGAUUGUAAAGAUGAGAUACUGGGUGAAUUGUGAUGUGUGCACAGCAUAUAUGAUUUAAGAUAGUGAAACCAAAAGAAAUAUGUGAAAAACAGGCCUGAAUUUCAAGGGUCAUCUUUAAAUGUUCACACUGUACAAGUUUCUAAAUCUUUCAGUGGAGCAAUUAUUUAAUAAAUCCAUUUGUCCUCAGUUCCGAAAUUGAAAA